Molecule: long non-coding RNA, 1241 nt
Organism: Argiope bruennichi
Lineage: Eukaryota; Metazoa; Arthropoda; Arachnida; Araneae; Araneidae
Exons: 4
Source: RefSeq, a predicted model, not a curated record
UUUUGGCGAUAUGUGGUGUUACAACUCCGUAUCAGAUGCUUAUAAUAAAAAUCCUGUGUAUAAUUCUGUAAAUUAUUUCAACUAACUAAAUGUCUUAGUUUUUUUAGAUUGGUUCUCUUCAGUGUUGAUGACUGAUUGAUUUAAUUUAAUAGCAACUCGCAUUAAUGUCGAUUCGUACGUUCGAUGUGACUUCAUAUUAGCGCGAAAAGAGCGAUUGCAGGCGAAUUGUUACCUGAAGUGGUGCGAGGAGACUGACGUACGCAGCAUGUAAAUCAUGGUAAUUUUGUAUAAAGAAAUAAAUUUAUCGUUUUCUUGGACAAUUUUGAUCUUUUGUGUGACAUUAUUUGGAGAGAUCACAAGAACAGGAUAACGACUAAGGGCAUCCAUAUGUUUAAUCUGUUUACCUGGCCUGUGACAAACUUCAUAAUUAAAUUCUUCAAGCAUCAACGCCCAUCGAGCAAUUUUUGGAGGUUAUGGAACUAACGAACAGAGCGAAAAUAUUGCCUAUAAAUCAGCAAGAUUAAAUACAUAGAAGUUUGACAAUUCCUGCUUGCUUAGGGUUAAAUAUAUGCAGUUAACGCUCCACUUUUCAACAAGGCUUACUAUCUGAUCCACUCAGUGAUUGAGAAGAAAAGUUAUGUUGUAUAUGCAAAGAAAACAAGUAGUUUUCUGAAAAAUUAAAAAAAUAUAUUUAUUAUCGAUUUUUGUAAAAUAUAUAUCAUGCACAAUAUCAGCAUAUCUAAUAGAUACUUCUGCUUAACUUCACAGAUACUUAUGCUUUAACAUGAUAAAAACUUUUCAUCGGAUCUAACUUUUGUUCCAAAAGAUUUUCUAAAAAGUAUGCUUUAACGAGGCAUAUUCUAAAACUAGUGAAAGAAACGUCUAUCUGUGGAUCAUACAAUAUAAAAUAUUUUCUAAUCAAUGCACUCAAAUUUGGAAUAUAUGCAAGCUUACGAAAGAAUUCUGCAAAAUGUCUACUAAAGUCUUUUCUACGCAGGAAUAUGUAAUGCCACCAAUCUCAACGCAUAUUAAAGAGAAACCAUUUGUUUGUAAUGUGUGUGAUAAAGUUUAUCUCAAAGGAAUUUCAAAGACACAUUUAAGGACGCAUACGAAAGAGAAACCAUAUGUUUGUGAGAUUUGCAGUAAAACGUUUUCUGGAAGCGGAAAUUUGAAGAAACAUUUAAGGACUCAUACGAAAGAGAAACCGUAUGUUUGUGAGGUUUGCAGUAAAGCGUUUUCUG